RNAcentral lists this ribosomal RNA (309 nucleotides) under uncultured Rhodobacterales bacterium. RNAcentral's name for it is "SSU rRNA". It matches the Rfam family "Bacterial small subunit ribosomal RNA", at positions 29 to 367 of the family's 1533-position model. Lineage: Bacteria; Pseudomonadati; Pseudomonadota; Alphaproteobacteria; Rhodobacterales. The record is from RNAcentral.
ACGAACGCUGGCGGCAGGCCUAACACAUGCAAGUCGAGCGCUACCUUCGGGUGGAGCGGCGGACGGGUUAGUAACGCGUGGGAAUAUACCCAGUUCUAAGGAAUAGCCACUGGAAACGGUGAGUAAUACCUUAUACGCCCUUCGGGGGAAAGAUUUAUCGCCUUUAGAUGAGCCCGGUCGGAUUAGCUUGUUGGUAGGGUAAUGGCCUACCAAGUCUACGAUCUAUAGCUGGUUUGAGAGGAUGAUCAGCAACACUGGGACUGAGACACGGCCCAGACUCCUACGGGAGGCAGCAGUGGGGAAUCUUGC